Hyaena hyaena (striped hyena) is the source of this 106-nucleotide small nuclear RNA. The record is from RefSeq and is a predicted model, not a curated record. Lineage: Eukaryota; Metazoa; Chordata; Mammalia; Carnivora; Hyaenidae.
GUGCUCACUUGGCAGCACAUACACUACAAUGGGAACAAUACAGAGAAGAUUAGCAUGGUCCCUGUGCAAGAAUGACACGCAAAAUUUUGAAGCAUUGUAUAUAUAU